This 254-nucleotide ribosomal RNA is filed under the name uncultured bacterium. RNAcentral's name for it is "partial 16S ribosomal RNA". It matches the Rfam family "Bacterial small subunit ribosomal RNA", at positions 524 to 776 of the family's 1533-position model. The record is from RNAcentral.
UACGGGGGGGGCAAGCGUUGUUCGGAAUUACUGGGCGUAAAGAGCUCGUAGGCGGCUUGUCGCGUCGACUGUGAAAACCCGCGGCUCAACCGUGUGGCUUGCAGUUGAUACGGGCAGGCUAGAGUUCGGUAGGGGAGACUGGAAUUCCUGGUGUAGCGGUGAAAUGCGCAGAUAUCAGGAGGAACACCGGUGGCGAAGGCGGGUCUCUGGGCCGAUACUGACGCUGAGGAGCGAAAGCGUGGGGAGCGAACAGG